This 518-nucleotide long non-coding RNA is filed under the name Equus caballus (horse). Its description in RNAcentral is "lncRNA (ENSECAG00000047340.1)". Lineage: Eukaryota; Metazoa; Chordata; Mammalia; Perissodactyla; Equidae. The record is from RNAcentral.
UAAGACAACUAGACACUAUCCAAAGGAGCUCAGGAGCCAGAACUGACCAGGCUCCCUCUUAAAUCAAGGUAUUAAGAGGAUCAAAGCAAUGGUGAUUCAAAAUCAGACAGGAGACAUAAGGGAGAGUGGAGUCAUCCCAAAACACCAUCCAAGUUGACACACAAAAUUCACCAUCACAAAUAUUCUGGGUGACGAGAUGCGAAGUAUGGAGAAAAGCACUUGUGCAACUGUUUGAGUUGCCAGCUGACUGCUCAUUUAUUUCAUGAAUGCCAUUUUUACUUGAAAGUAGAAAAGAGACAAACUAUGGAUAUUCAGAUUUGGGAAACAGGAACGUAGUGAGUAUCCCACGAGGGACUAUGAGCUGCAAAAUAGGAAGACAUUUGAUACCUAUUGAAGGUCAUGGGGAAAAAACAAGAUGGUAUAAAGGAAGCCUCCAAGGAACACUGGACAUUGGUGGAGACCAGGUGUAAGGUCUAUCUAGCCUUGCACUUGGCAGAUGGUGGAGGAUGUUGGAGGGG